Molecule: transfer RNA, 77 nt
Filed under: Caballeronia calidae
Lineage: Bacteria; Pseudomonadati; Pseudomonadota; Betaproteobacteria; Burkholderiales; Burkholderiaceae
Description: tRNA-Met
Rfam family: tRNA
About the family: Transfer RNA (tRNA) molecules are approximately 80 nucleotides in length. Their secondary structure includes four short double-helical elements and three loops (D, anti-codon, and T loops).
Source: RNAcentral
GGGCCUUUAGCUCAGUCGGUUAGAGCGAAGAACUCAUAAUUCUUUGGUCGCAGGUUCGAGCCCUGCAAGGCCCACCA